CCGAGGUUCAAUAUACGGCUAAGUGGUCACAACACAUUUAGACAGUUGACGGUUUGGUAGCUUUGUUUACGUGGCGGCCUUAAAAUGAAGAUUUCUGUAGUUCUUUGUAUAAUUGCAUUUGCAGUGAGUGUUUACAGCGAGAAUUGUAAGCAGGUUUCUGACUGCCGCGAGACCAAGUGUGGCACGGACCACGGAUGGUGGCUUCACUGUACAAAGGGCUUUUGCCUUUGCAGUCAUGACACAUACACAGGAAAACCUUGCACUGACGGCGGCGCCGUUACAUGCGGGACUGUACAUGGACCCCGAUGCCAGAACCUUGGACUAUUUUGGCAUUGCGUAGACAAUGUUUGCCACUGCUCAAAACACCAAUAAAAUAAAAUAGUAAAAUUAUC
Molecule: long non-coding RNA, 392 nt
Organism: Mercenaria mercenaria
Lineage: Eukaryota; Metazoa; Mollusca; Bivalvia; Venerida; Veneridae
Exons: 3
Source: RefSeq, a predicted model, not a curated record